AGCAGUCAGUGUGUCUGGCGGGUGUCGGCGUGAAGCGGGGCUGGGCCAGCGGGAGGUAGCUCUGUGGGAGUGGAAGGCCUGUAUUUCUCUACCUGGAUCGCACGCUCCUCGCGCAAGGAGGGUAGAGCUCAAGAUACUUGGGAUUUGCUUUACAUUCUAAUUGGAUUUGAGGAAGAGACAAUAAAGAAUAAACAGUCAAUUCUAUAAUAUAUUUAGAAGGAGAAAAGUGCCAAGGAGGAAUGAAAAAGUAGAGCAAGAGACAGCGUCUUGCUGCCACUCAGGCUGGAGUGCAGUGGUGCAGUCUUAGCUCACUGCAGCCUCAAACUUCUGGGCUCAAGUAAUCCUUCCACCACAGCUUCCUGAGUAGCUGAGAUUAUAGAUUUGCUUUGAGGUCACAUUGAUAUGAAAUAUGGAGUCACCUUUCAUAACUUCACCUGGGAAAGAGAGAGAAAAUUUUCUUGUUAAAAAAACAUAAGGAAAACAAACAACCAAAGGAAUCAUGC
Molecule: small RNA, 503 nt
Filed under: Pongo abelii (Sumatran orangutan)
Lineage: Eukaryota; Metazoa; Chordata; Mammalia; Primates; Hominidae
Description: processed transcript
Source: RNAcentral